This 93-nucleotide transfer RNA is filed under the name Antarctobacter aquimaris. RNAcentral describes it as "Maliponia aquimaris tRNA-Ser". Lineage: Bacteria; Pseudomonadati; Pseudomonadota; Alphaproteobacteria; Rhodobacterales; Roseobacteraceae. The record is from RNAcentral.
CGGGUGGAUGGCGUGGACGUCAUGCCGCCGGUGCUGGAAACGCUGGGCCGGAUGGAGGCGCUGGCGCGCGAGAUCCGCGCCUCGGGCGUUCGG